GGACCCAUAGCUCAGUGGGUAGAGCAUGUGCUUUGCAUGCAGAAGAUCCCAGGUUCCAUCCCUUUCCAGGUACG
This is a non-coding RNA of Podarcis lilfordi (Lilford's wall lizard), 74 nucleotides long. Lineage: Eukaryota; Metazoa; Chordata; Lepidosauria; Squamata; Lacertidae. The record is from the annotation of a GenBank genome assembly.